Molecule: long non-coding RNA, 288 nt
Filed under: Vigna radiata
Lineage: Eukaryota; Viridiplantae; Streptophyta; Magnoliopsida; Fabales; Fabaceae
Description: long non-coding RNA (VRAD_LNC014078)
Source: RNAcentral
ACUUNUCCAUUUCUUAAUUUUGUGCAACGCUGAUUUCCUUAGAUGAGAUGUGUUGGCAGCUGGAUGUUAGCUAGUCUCUUACCUUUAUUUACUUUAGAAUGAAGAAGUGAUUGCUUUAACUUUGGAGGAACGUUUAACAUGAAUUUUGGAGUGGAUAUUAUUUUUAGGAGUUGUUGUAGACGCUGGCAUUCAAUCUUUGGGCUGCAGCGUUUUUCUUUUUUUAUUAUUCAAGCUUCUUUGCACUCUUUCUUUGCUUGACCAAAGCUGUUACGGGACACUUCUUUUCCG